Molecule: ribosomal RNA, 357 nt
Filed under: uncultured bacterium
Lineage: Bacteria
Description: bacterial SSU rRNA
Rfam family: Bacterial small subunit ribosomal RNA
Source: RNAcentral
AGCGAACGCUGGCGGCAGGCUUAACACAUGCAAGUCGAGCGGAUGUAGCAAUACAUCAGCGGCAGACGGGUGAGUAACACGUGGGAACGUACCUUUUGGUUCGGAACAACACAGGGAAACUUGUGCUAAUACCGGAUAAGCCCUUACGGGGAAAGAUUUAUCGCCGAAAGAUCGGCCCGCGUCUGAUUAGCUAGUUGGUGAGGUAACGGCUCACCAAGGCGACGAUCAGUAGCUGGUCUGAGAGGAUGAUCAGCCACAUUGGGACUGAGACACGGCCCAAACUCCUACGGGAGGCAGCAGUGGGAAUAUUGGACAAUGGGCGCAAGCCUGAUCCAGCCAUGCCGCGUGAGUGAUGAA